RNAcentral lists this microRNA precursor (63 nucleotides) under Petromyzon marinus (sea lamprey). RNAcentral's name for it is "Pma-Mir-128-o3_pre stem-loop". It matches the Rfam family "mir-128 microRNA precursor family", at positions 13 to 72 of the family's 83-position model. The record is from RNAcentral. Lineage: Eukaryota; Metazoa; Chordata; Hyperoartia; Petromyzontiformes; Petromyzontidae.
AGGGGGCCGUGCCACUGUCUGUGAGUGUGUGUUGCUUCCUCUCACAGUGAACCGGUCUCUUUC